GAUGAACGCUGGCGGCGUGCCUAAUACAUGCAAGUCGAGCGAACAGACGAGGAGCUUGCUCCUCUGACGUUAGCGGCGGACGGGUGAGUAACACGUGGAUAACCUACCUAUAAGACUGGGAUAACUUCGGGAAACCGGAGCUAAUACCGGAUAAUAUAUUGAACCGCAUGGUUCAAUAGUGAAAGACGGUUUUGCUGUCACUUAUAGGUGGAUCCGCGCCGCAUUAGCUAGUUGGUAAGGUAACGGCUUACCAAGGCAACGAUGCGUAGCCGACCUGAGAGGGUGAUCGGCCACACUGGAACUGAGACACGGUCCAGACUCCUACGGGAGGCAGCAGUAGGGAAUCUUCCGCAAUGGGCGAAAGCCUGACGGAGCAACGCCGCGUGAGUGAUGAAGGUCUUCGGAUCGUAAAACUCUGUUAUUAGGGACGAACAAAUGUGUAAGUAACUAUGCACGUCUUGACGGUACCUAAUCAGAAAGCCACGGCUAACUACGUG
This 497-nucleotide ribosomal RNA is filed under the name uncultured bacterium. RNAcentral describes it as "partial 16S ribosomal RNA". It matches the Rfam family "Bacterial small subunit ribosomal RNA", at positions 28 to 507 of the family's 1533-position model. The record is from RNAcentral.